UUUUUUUUUUUUUCCACACAAACCCUAAAAGCAGUGUAGAAUGUAUUUUUCUUUUUGCGGUGACACGCAAUCAAUACAACUUUCAACAACGGAUCUCUUGGCUCUCGCAUCGAUGAAGAACGCAGCGAAAUGCGAUACGUAAUGUGAAUUGCAGAAUUCAGUGAAUCAUCGAAUCUUUGAACGCACCUUGCGCCCCUUGGCAUUCCGAGGGGCACACCCGUUUGAGUGUCGUGAAAUUCUCAAAACCCUUUCUUUGAUACUUUUGAUCGAGAAAUGGAUUUUGGACUUGGGGGAUCAAUGCUCACUCUCACUUAUUGAAGGUGGGCUCCUCUCAAAUGAAUUAGUGGGGUUCGCUUUGCUGAUCCUUGACGUGAUAAGAUGUUUUUGUUUUACGUUUUUGAUUUAGCACUGUCCCUCCAACUGUCUUAUGGACAAUGAUGGUGUUCUGGUCACCACUGCCUUCGGUGGAUGGCUGGACCCACAAGAAAACCUUGACCUCAAAUCGGGUGAGACUACCCGCUGAACUUAAGCAUAUCAAUAAGCGGAGGAAAAGAAACUAACAAGGAUUCCCCUAGUAACUGCGAGUGAAGCGGGAAAAGCUCAAAUUUAAAA
Molecule: ribosomal RNA, 612 nt
Filed under: uncultured fungus
Lineage: Eukaryota; Fungi
Description: eukaryotic LSU rRNA
Rfam family: 5.8S ribosomal RNA (bases 78-231)
Source: RNAcentral